GCAAGUCGAGGGGCAGCGUGGUAUUUCGGUACUGACGGCGACCGGCGAACGGGUGCGUAACGCGUAUGUAAUCUGCCUUGUACAGGAGGAUAGGUUUUGGAAACAAAAAUUAAUACUCCAUAUAGUUGGACAUCGCAUGGUAGUCCAAUGAAAGCUCUGGCGGUACAAGAUGAACAUGCGUCCUAUUAGCUAGUUGGUAAGAUAAAAGCUUACCAAGGCAAUGAUAGGUAGGGGUUCUGAGAGGAUAAUC
RNAcentral lists this ribosomal RNA (250 nucleotides) under uncultured bacterium. RNAcentral's name for it is "partial 16S ribosomal RNA". It matches the Rfam family "Bacterial small subunit ribosomal RNA", at positions 57 to 305 of the family's 1533-position model. The record is from RNAcentral.